RNAcentral lists this ribosomal RNA (410 nucleotides) under uncultured fungus. Its description in RNAcentral is "SSU rRNA". It matches the Rfam family "Eukaryotic small subunit ribosomal RNA", at positions 646 to 1060 of the family's 1831-position model. Lineage: Eukaryota; Fungi. The record is from RNAcentral.
GUUAGUAGGUUGGUCAUGCCUCUGGUAUGUACUGGUCUCACUGAUUCCUCCUUCCUUAUGAACCGUAAUGCCAUUAAUUUGGUGUUGCGGGGAAUUUGGACUGUUACUUUGAAAAAAUUAGAGUGUUUAGAGCAAGCUAACGCUUGAAUACAUUAGCAUGGAAUAAUGAAAUAGGACGUUCGAUCUUAUUUUGUUGGUUUCUAGGAUUGACGUAAUGAUUAAUAGGGAUAGUUGGGGGCAUUAGUAUUCAAUUGUCAGAGGUGAAAUUCUUGGAUUUAUUGAAGACUAACUACUGCGAAAGCAUUUGCCAAGGAUGUUUUCAUUAAUCAAGAACGAAAGUUAGGGGAUCGAAGACGAUCAGAUACCGUCGUAGUCUUAACCAUAAACUAUGCCGACUAGGGAUCGGAUGA